UGUGAUGAACUAGGAAUGUUCUUAAUGUUUUCUCUGAAUACUGUGGGGGCCUCAGUUCCUGGCCGACCCUCUGUCUCCUGGCAACUAAUGGCCAGGCCCUUUCUCCCUGCAAG
Molecule: non-coding RNA, 113 nt
Organism: Chelonoidis abingdonii (Abingdon island giant tortoise)
Lineage: Eukaryota; Metazoa; Chordata; Testudines; Testudinidae
Source: RefSeq, a predicted model, not a curated record